Molecule: long non-coding RNA, 481 nt
Filed under: Hordeum vulgare
Lineage: Eukaryota; Viridiplantae; Streptophyta; Magnoliopsida; Poales; Poaceae
Description: long non-coding RNA (HVUL_LNC012810)
Source: RNAcentral
GACGUGCGGCUGGUGCGAGGCGGCGGACGGCAUGACGGAGGGGAGGCUCUGGUGGCUGGAGUCGCUGAGGUCCGAUCCCGACGGGCUGCCGGGGCUGAAGCAGAGCCCCGGGUACCCGUCGCUGCUGGUCCGCUUCAGCGGGCGGCGGUCGUCGUCGACCGCGUCAUCACCGGGCGAGGCGGAGGCGGAGGCGGAGGCGGACGCCGAGGAUGAUGAGGAGUACUUGCGCUUGAGCGUGGAGUUCCAGUGGUUCUUGAUGGCGUUGUCGGUGCGGCCGGAGAGCAGGCGGGCGAUGGUGGCCCACUUGUUGCCGAACCUUGCGUGGGCGCGGAGGAUGGUGUCGUCCUCGUCGGGGGUGAAGGGGCGGUGCUCCACCUGCGGCGAGAGCUGGUUGCACCACCGGAGGCGGCACGACUUGCCGGACCGCCCCGGGAUGGACUUGCUGAUGAGCGACCAGUUGCGCGCCCCGUGGCGUCCCACC